GCCGAAAUGGCGGAAUUGGCAGACGCACGGGACUCAAAAUCCCGCGAUAGCAAUAUCAUGUGGGUUCAAGUCCCACUUUCGGCACCA
Molecule: transfer RNA, 87 nt
Filed under: Bacillota bacterium
Lineage: Bacteria; Bacillati; Bacillota
Also listed under: 2 other names
Description: tRNA-Leu
Rfam family: tRNA
About the family: Transfer RNA (tRNA) molecules are approximately 80 nucleotides in length. Their secondary structure includes four short double-helical elements and three loops (D, anti-codon, and T loops).
Source: RNAcentral